AUAUCUCAACACAGACAAGUUUAUGACUUGCUCUGAUGCUUGGAUGUUGAGGGCUGCUGGCAAGACUUUGUCAGCUCCUUUUAAAUUUAUUAGCAGAAACCUAUGCAAAAAGCUGGCUUCAGUUUGAUAAGCACUUAUCUGUAUUGCUGUUGCUAGUGAAACGCCCUUGUUUCAGCUUCCAAUUGUCCAAAUGUAAUGGACUGCCUCUUGAGGCAAUUCAAUCUUGAC
This 228-nucleotide unclassified non-coding RNA is filed under the name uncultured Clavaria. RNAcentral describes it as "sequence contains ITS2". Lineage: Eukaryota; Fungi; Basidiomycota; Agaricomycetes; Agaricales; Clavariaceae. The record is from RNAcentral.